This 562-nucleotide long non-coding RNA is filed under the name Glycine max (soybean). Its description in RNAcentral is "long non-coding RNA (GMAX_LNC003759)". The record is from RNAcentral. Lineage: Eukaryota; Viridiplantae; Streptophyta; Magnoliopsida; Fabales; Fabaceae.
AUGGAAAAUGAUAGUUCAUCUUGCUUCGUGGUUAUAUUCUCAAAAUAUUAAUAAUGAUGAUGCAGUUGGGAAAUUUUGGAGAUUAAUUGUUUUGGUAGCUGGCAAUGAAUUGACUUCGAAAGUUAUCCCUUCUUAGUGUUCUCAACUAUAGGAAAAUAUUUAAUUAGUCUCCGUCUUAGUGCUCUCCCACUAGCUAGUAAUUAUUCCCUCAUACAAGUUUUGUAUAGCCUGAAUAUAAAUUAUUUCUAGCUAUUAACUUUCUUUUCCAAAGUCCACAACAACCCUUCUCUUGGAACUCAAACACAAAAGCCAUAUGAGUAAGUCUUUUUCUUUGCUUCGAUGCAUUCUAUCAACCUCUAGUUUAAAAAGAGAGAAUUUUUUUAAAAAAAUUGAUAGCGCUUUGGAAGUGCUAUGUAUGCAUAUGAUAUCUAUUUAAAGAUAGUCCUUGUGAAGAACUACCUAACAAUCUUCCGCUCUGGAUUAUUGGUUUCAAUAGCUUAAUUAUUAUAAUUUAAUGAUAAAAUAAUUUUAUAAAUUUAACGAUAGAAUUAAUUUAUCUCAC